UCAUCCGGUCGAUCCUGCCGGAGCAAGACGCUCUCCUCAAGGACAAAGCCAUGCAUGCCGGCACACCACGGCGGACGGCUCAGGACAACGGUUGGAAGCCGAGCGGCGGUCACAGCUAGCCGGACACCGCUGGCAACCCGGCGCCAAGACGUGUGCGCAAGUGCGAGAGCCCGGGGGCGAGCAGCGUGACGGAGCGACGGCCCGCAGGCCCUUCCGGGGCAUCAUCUGGUCGGCAGGGUCAGGGCCUACCGAGGAGACGACGCCUGGCGGAGAAUCAGGGUUCGAU
Molecule: ribosomal RNA, 286 nt
Filed under: Giardia peramelis
Lineage: Eukaryota; Fornicata; Diplomonadida; Hexamitidae
Description: partial 18S small subunit ribosomal RNA
Rfam family: Eukaryotic small subunit ribosomal RNA
Source: RNAcentral